ACUGCCUCUCCGACAGCCCUCAGGACACACCAUGGGCCUGGAGGCUGGUUGGUGGCACACGAGCGAGGACGCAGGCGGCGGCCCCGGCGACUCUCAACUGCCUCCCUGACCACUGCGACAACCUCCCCGAAGCCAUCGCCACUACCCGCAGCGGAAUCUAUCUGCGGCCAAUCUAUCGCCACGAACCGACUACCAGCUACGUAAACAACUAUGGCGGGAGAAAGGUGGCAGGCCGAGGGGCCCGGAGAAGGUUGGGCCAUCUACGUCACACCCAGAGCCCCCAUCCGGGAGGGAAGGCGGAGGCUCGACCCGCGAAAUGGCGACAGCAGUGACGCGCCUGCGUACGGAGCUCACCCGUCGCGCCGCGGACGACGGGAAGUGAGGUUUUCAGAGGAGCCGGCAGAAGUGUACGGCGACUUCGAGCCCCGGGCGGCCAAAGAAAGGUCUCCGGGGGGGAGACGAACCCCGCCAGAAAAGUUCCGGCCGGCUUCUGCGGGAGAGGAAGUGAGAGAAAGCGCUUACAACCUUCGCUCUCGACCACGGAGGCAGCGGCGAGCCCAGGAAGCCGAGGAGAUGAAGACGCGGAGGUCUGCUCGCCUUGAGCAGCACUCACAGCAGCCGCAGCUGUCUCCGGCCACGAGCGGCCGAGGGUUACGGGACUCUCCGUCCUCCAGUGAGGACCGCGAAGAGGAUGAACCUUCUUCCCGACCUGUUACAAGCCAAACAGCCUCAAAGAAAACUCUUAGAACACCAGAGGCUUCAGUGAUGAAUGAAGACCCUAUAAGCAACUUAUGCAGACCCCCAUUAAGAAGCCCAAGACUUGAUUCAACAUACCAAACAAAUGGAAAUACUAAAACGAAUGAAAGAGAAGCUACCAUUGUCCAGCAGGUCAAUUUCUUCGAAGAAGGAGAAACCGAAGAUGAUCUCGAGAGCUCUUACAGUGACAUCACUAUCAGGGCCAGAUCCAGCGAUUCUCUUGAGUCAAGAGAUGAAGCCACCCCAGCAGCUGGCAAUCAUCCAGAUUCACUGAGGGGCUGCCACACAAUCAGGACUUCCCAGCUCAUGAGAAUCAGCCAUUACUGCUGACCUCAGGAUGUCAGGAAAACCCUCAGGAGUGGGUUGACCGAGCUGUACGAAUGAGGAGUAGAAUGGCGUAUAACAACAUUCAGAAAUCCAACUUUGGAAACCAGUCUCCAUCAACCUCCAGGCCACAAUCGGCUAUCCAUCACCCAAAUGAACCUUCUGUCAAGAUAAAGUGGUGGCUGCUGGGACUUGUUGCCAUCCUUGCAGUGGGACUAUUUUGGUUCUUUCAUACCCCUGCAGUGGAAACCACUGCCGUUCAAGAAUUCCAGAACCAGAUGAAGCAACUCCAGUCUAAGUACCAGAGUCAAAACGAGAAGCUGUGGAAGAGAGGCACCACCUUCCUAGAAAAACAUCUGAAUAGCUCCCUCCCUCGGCCCCAGCCUGCCAUCCUGUUGCUCACUGCAGCUCAAGAUGCUGCAGAAGUGCUCAAGUGUCUGAGUGAACAAAUUGCCGACGCCUACUCCUCCUUCCGUAGUGUCCGUGCCAUCCGGAUUGACGGGGCAGGUAAAGCUGCUCAGGACAGUGACCUCGUUAAGCAUGAAGUCGAUCAGGAGCUGACUGAUGGAUUUAAAAAUGGCCAGAAUGCAGCUGUGGUACACCGCUUCGAAUCCCUGCCUGCUGGCUCAACCUUGAUCUUCUAUAAAUACUGUGACCAUGAAAAUGCAGCCUUCAAAGAUGUAGCCCUCGUCCUGACUGUACUGUUGGAGGAGAAGACGCUGGAAGCCAGUUUAGGCCUAAAGGAAAUUGAAGAGAAAGUGAGGGAUUUCCUUAAAGUCAAGUUCACCAGCUCUAGCACUGCCAGCUCCUACAACCACAUGGACCCAGACAAGCUGAAUGGGCUCUGGAGCCGCAUCUCCCACCUCGUGCUGCCUGUGCAGCCUGAGAACACUCUGAAAGCAGGCAGCUGCUUAUGAGGGAGAGAAGCGGAAAGCCAUCUCGGGUUUGAGCGGUUUUGAGACCUUGUAACCAGAGAUGGAAUUUGGAACAGUUUUUGAAAACUGGUUUCUUUUUAAAGGAAGUAAAGUUCAUACAUAAAAGUGGAAUAACUAAAUCAUUAACCAGCCUAAUUAUCUGUGAUUUGAGAGAAUUGUUUCUCUAUUUCCACUCUGAACCAUGUUCAAGGUAUUUAGCAUAGUGUACAGUAUAUGCAAUUCCCGAGUGUCUGCCUUGAUUCUGGCCGAAUCAUUCUUGCUGUGGUGUGGCCAGUGAGAAGGGCUAGGUUCCUCUUUCAAAGAAUCAGCUCUAUAGUUAACUUUGGAUUUACUUGUGUUUGUGACCUUAUUAAUGGCUGACAGCUCCCUAAUUGUAGCUGUGGAUUCCCCAUAUUUUUUCUCUCAUACCAUUUAAAUGUGUGAUCCUUAGCUGCUGCCUAUAAAAACAGAACUGGAUGUGCGGUUUAGCCAGCCCCUCCCUCACUGGUUUUUAGAGAGGGGAGGAGGGAUUUGGAGGUAGAAAGAGAAGAGAAAUUGUUCAAUAGAGAAGGAAAAGGAAGAAGGGAAAAAAGAUAGUUGCAAGCUGGGCAUGGUAAACCACGCCUGUGAUCUGUCUCAGUAUUGUCUCAGGAGAGUCAGGAGGAACAGAAGUUCAAGGCCAGCCUCAUCUAGUUAGUUGGGUUUUCUGCCACCCUGGGUUACGUAAGACACUGUCUUUAAAAAAAAAAUUUAAAACUCGAAACUUUACUUUUUAAAAAAAGAAACAUAAACGUGACAAGAAGCCUGUGAGGGGUAGUCACGCAGGCACGCCUAGGCGGCGGCCUCUAACUGUUACAGUUUGCCCUUUCUGUUUGUGUUCUUGUGUGAGGCUAAAGCUCAGUGGCGGAGCAUUAGCCCAGCCUGUGCAAUACCCUGGAUUCAGUACCCAGCAUUCCACACGCCUGUCAUCUCGGCACUCACUCAUCACAUUGCGGUUGGAGUAUCUUGAAUUGAAAGCCAGCCUGGAGUAUAUAUAUAUCAAGACCCUAAUUCAACCCCACUCCCCAGUAAAAAAAGAGUGCCAUGGUCCUCCCAAGAUUUUUUAAGCUUGUAUAUUAUGCAGUGUAUUUCCUUACUUAGCUCUUAUCAAUUUGAAAGGUAGGCAGAUUCAAAGCAUUCUCUUUGAUAAUACCUGACAGUUUUUGUCCUAAAGAAAAUAUAGUUUCUGGUACAUCCUCAACUUGAUGGUUUGGGAUUUUUUAAAUUAUUAUUAUUAUUACUAUUAUUAUUUAAUUUUUUUACUUUUUGCCGAUACUAGGAAUUGAACCUGAGAUCCCACACCAGCUGGUCACGUGUUCUCCUGGUGACCAUCCCCUAGCAGUAGAAACACAUUUUGAAGUCAGGUAACUCAUGUCUACAAUGCCAGCACUUGGGAAGUUGAAGAAGAAGCCAUUGUUAGCUGUAUAGUGAGUUUCAAGCCAGCUUGCCUGGGCUGUAGGAUGAAGUACUGCCUCUACACCCACUAUCCCCCUCCCUGCCCCCCAAUACACAACCACCCCCACUACCCCCCUUCCCACCCCUCUGACCCCUACCCCUGUCUCCACACCUACUACCUCCCUCCCCCCCAUCUCCACAGCCAAUACCCACCCCCCCAAUACACAACACAGAGAUAGCUUCAAAAUUGGUAAACAGUUCUCUGCUGGGCUGUUGAAGAGAACUUCAUUUUCUCUGUACAUGAGUACUGGAAGUCUGGGAGUGGUGGUCCAUAACAAAUAGAGAUAUACUAUGCACAUGAUCAUUUUGUCGAGUGAGUACCUCAAGCCAAAAGAGUGAACCUUACCACACGUGAAGAACAGCGGACCUAGGUCUCUAUUGCUCGAGUAUUUUAGAGUUUUUUGCAUUUAUAACUAGGUAUUCUCAUCUGUCCGCUGCUGUUUUGUUUUCUACUCUUAACAAUUCUAGAUGCACCUUGAGUUCUUCUCCAUAGACAUCUAAAUGAGAAUACUACUUUAGAGUCCUAGUCAACUGUUCUUUACCCACUGGGAGUCUCAUGGUGGGUGGUAAGAUUUGUAUUACUAUCUGUUUCGGUCAGGUCAGACUGAUAAGAUUCUCAUUUUGUAAAGAAUUAUAAAAAAGUUUUUGAAAGUCUUUAUUUUUUACAUACAUAUCAUAAGGAAAUAGAAAUGUCUUAUAUUCCACUGACUUAAAUAAAUUUCUUUUAUCUUUCAGAAAAAAAACAAUUGUAGCAGUUAAUGUGUAAAAAGCUUUUAAAAGCUAUUUUAGUAAUUUAAAUAAAUUUACUUUUUGGGUUUGUAUUCUGUAUGUUAUAAACUUAAUGAUUUACAA
RNA transcript from Mus musculus (house mouse), 4340 nucleotides. It is a transcript of the gene named torsin A interacting protein 1, with no coding region annotated. NCBI's taxonomy places the organism in Eukaryota, Metazoa, Chordata, Mammalia, Rodentia, Muridae. The record is from RefSeq and is marked validated. The transcript has 11 exons.